This 704-nucleotide long non-coding RNA is filed under the name Canis lupus familiaris (dog). RNAcentral's name for it is "lncRNA (ENSCAFG00040022588.1)". Lineage: Eukaryota; Metazoa; Chordata; Mammalia; Carnivora; Canidae. The record is from RNAcentral.
UAUAAAUACAAGGAAGCUUAUGAGAAGUCAGAGGGAAAGCAUGUGGGUUUUAGAAGCCUUCAGGAUGAUCCCACGCUGGUCCAUUACAUGAAUGUGGCAAAACUGUAGUCGGAUCAUGAACACAAGAGGAACUAUGAGAACGUCAAAAUGAGCUACCAUACCCCUGGGGACAUGCUUAGCAUUACAGCUGCGAAGUUGUCCCGGGAUGUUGUCAGCGAUAUCAACUACAAACAGCCCGUACACCAUUACAUGUACCUACCCGAUGCCAUGAGUCUCAAGCAAGCACACCAGGAAUGUGAAUCAAAUUCAGAGCGAUAAACUAUAUCAAGAUGCAUGGAAUAAAGAUAAAACCAACAUCACCAUUCCUUCUGACAUGCCAGGCAUGCUGCAGGCCCCUAUAAAUGCCCUGCAAAUCAGCAAUAAAUUUUACCAAAAAGACUGGAAUGAGACCAAGCAGAAAGGCUAUGACUUCAAAGCAGAUGCCAUUGAAAUCAAGCAAGCCAAAGACUCCAGAGAUAUUUCCAGUGAGUACAAGUACAAAGAAGGUUAGCAUAAGCAACUGGGCCACCACGUGGGUUUCCGCACCCUACAAGAUGACCCCAAAUUGGUAUGGUCUAUACACACUGCCAAGAUCCAGAGUGACAGAAAAUACAAGAAAGCUUAUGAGAAGUUUGAAAGAAUUCCCAAUACACCAUUGGACAUGA